AGCUUGUUAUCCACCAUGUUAAAUGGCGUCAAAACUCGUGACAUCCCUUGCUUUAUCUUGAGCUCUGAUGCCACAACCUCUUCUCAGCUUUAUUCUCCAACUCCUCCGCCGGUUUGGUGAGCCACAACCAAACCUGAUUGAGACAUUGAUCCCAGCGAUCCCAACAGCUUUGGUGCUCAGCAUGUAUUCGACUCCAUGACAUCUGCAUCGUGGAUGAAGCUCUUUAUCCACCGUGGCCUUCUCUCUUCCAAGACCAGACCUUGAAAGGUGCCUUCACCACACUACGAUUCACCACCGCAGCUUGUCCUCUCUAAGUUCUAUAUCCGUCACUUUUCCCUCAUCUCUCUUAUGCGACCUCCGGUGAUCCCCUGUGUCAAAGACGAGUAUAGCAUACUCGACAUGCAUGAAAAAUCUUGCUUUCAAGGCCUAAGUAUUGAGAAAUGGAAGCUGAAUCAACAGCUUUUUCAGGUCCUAUACAAAGACUGAGCUCUGUCAAAGAUACAUCUUCAAAGAGUGGGAUCAGUCAGAGUUUUGAUGUUAAGCCUCUCGAGAUAAACACUUCACUGAAAAUUCUUAUAAAAAUUAAAGUGGCCUUUUGCGUUUUUAACUUAUGAUGUGUAUUGAAAUCUCCAGCUAUUGGAUGACCUCUCUGUGGAAUGUAGGAAGUUUGGAGAUGUUUUGAAGAGUAAAGUACAUAUAAUUUCAAAAGAUAUGAAAGAUGCCAGGUCUAGUAAAAGCAGCUAAGUGAUCAGUGUUUGCUUACCAGCUUAUGAAAUUAUCUAUGAGAUUUUAUACUGUGUCAAAGUCAAUACAUCCGGCUUGUUACUUAAUAAAGUCUCAACCUUUUUUUUUGUUUUCUUACUUUCACUUCUGUUGAGUAAACAAAGAACACAAUAUUUUCUUUAUCUUCACGACACUCCCAAUGUUUACGUGACUGCAUUUAUGCUAAAGUACCUCUUCUCAGCUUUAUUCUCCAACUCCUCCGCCGGUUUGGUGAGCCACAACCAAACCUGAUUGAGACAUCGAUCCCAGCGAUCCCAACAGCUUCGGUGCUCAGCAUGUAUUCGACUCCAUGACAUCUGCAUCGUGGAUGAAGCUCUUUAUCCACCGUGGCCUUCUCUCUUCCAAGACCAGAGCUUGAAAUCUUCACUGAACCCAUGUGCCUUCACCACACUACGAUUCACCACCACAGCUUGUCCUCUCUAAGUUCUCUAUCCGUCACUUUUCCCUCAUCUCUCUUAUGUGACCUCUGGUGAUCCCUUGUGUCAAAGACGAGUAUAGCAUACUCGACAUGCAUGAAAAAUCUUGCUUUCAAGGCCUAAGUAUUGAGAAAUGGAAGCUGAAUCAACAGCUUUUUCAGGUCCUAUACCAAGACUGAGCUCUGUCAAAGAUACAUCUUCAAUAAGAGUGGGAUCAGUCAGAGUUUUGAUGUUAAGCCUCUCGAGAUAAACACUUCACUGAAAAUUCUUAUAAAAAUUAAAGUGGCCUUUUGCGUUUUUAACUUAUGAUGUGUAUUGAAAUCUGCAGCAAUUGGAUGGUCUCUCUGUGGAAUGUAGGAAGUUUAAAGAUGUUUUGGAGAGUAAAGUACUUAUAAUCUCAAAAGAUAUGAAAGAUGACAGGUCUAGUAAAAGCAGCUAAGUGAUCAGUGUUGGCUUACCAGCUUAUGAAAUUAUCUAUGAGAUUUUAUAGUCUGUCAAAGUCAAUACAUCCGGCUUGUUACUUAAUAAAGUCUCAACCUUUUAUUUUGUUUUCUUACUUUCACUUCUGAUGAUUUUUUUUUUUGUCAUCUACUUCUGAUGAUUAAACAAAGAACAUAAUAUUUUAUUUAUCGGCACGACACUC
Molecule: long non-coding RNA, 1842 nt
Filed under: Brassica napus (rape)
Lineage: Eukaryota; Viridiplantae; Streptophyta; Magnoliopsida; Brassicales; Brassicaceae
Description: long non-coding RNA (BNAP_LNC000768)
Source: RNAcentral